RNAcentral lists this transfer RNA (65 nucleotides) under Dipodomys ordii (Ord's kangaroo rat). It matches the Rfam family "tRNA". Rfam says of the family: Transfer RNA (tRNA) molecules are approximately 80 nucleotides in length. Their secondary structure includes four short double-helical elements and three loops (D, anti-codon, and T loops). Further hydrogen bonds mediate the characteristic L-shaped molecular structure. tRNAs have two regions of fundamental functional importance: the anti-codon, which is responsible for specific mRNA codon recognition, and the 3' end, to which the tRNAs corresponding amino acid is attached (by aminoacyl-tRNA synthetases). tRNAs cope with the degeneracy of the genetic code in two manners: having more than one tRNA (with a specific anti-codon) for a particular amino acid; and 'wobble' base-pairing, i.e. permitting non-standard base-pairing at the 3rd anti-codon position. Lineage: Eukaryota; Metazoa; Chordata; Mammalia; Rodentia; Heteromyidae. The record is from Rfam by way of RNAcentral.
GGUGGCUCAGUGGUAGAGCACUUGCCUUACAUGCCUGAAACCCUGGGUUCGAUUCCUCAGCACCA